GGGGCUGUAGCCUUGUGGUUACGCUUUCGCUUCAUAAGCGGAAGGUCAUGGGUUCGAUUCCCAGCCCCU
Aedes aegypti (yellow fever mosquito) is the source of this 69-nucleotide non-coding RNA. The record is from Rfam. NCBI's taxonomy places the organism in Eukaryota, Metazoa, Arthropoda, Insecta, Diptera, Culicidae.